UACAGAGGGUGCGAGCGUUAAUCGGAAUUACUGGGCGUAAAGCGCACGUAGGUGGCUUUGCAAGUCGAUUGUGAAAUCCCCGGGCUUAACCUGGGAACUGCAGUCGAGACUGCUUUGCUUGAGUAUGGGAGAGGGAGGUGGAAUUUCCGGUGUAGCGGUGAAAUGCGUAGAUAUUGGGAGAAACACCAGUGGCGAAGGCGGCUCACUGGACCGGUACUGACGCUGAUGCGCGAAAGCGUGGGGAGCAAACGGG
RNAcentral lists this ribosomal RNA (253 nucleotides) under uncultured prokaryote. RNAcentral describes it as "partial 16S ribosomal RNA". It matches the Rfam family "Bacterial small subunit ribosomal RNA", at positions 524 to 776 of the family's 1533-position model. The record is from RNAcentral.